Molecule: ribosomal RNA, 460 nt
Filed under: uncultured bacterium
Lineage: Bacteria
Description: partial 16S ribosomal RNA
Rfam family: Bacterial small subunit ribosomal RNA
Source: RNAcentral
CCUACGGGAGGCAGCAGUGAGGAAUAUUGGUCAAUGGACGAGAGUCUGAUCCAGCCAAGUAGCGUGAAGGAUGAAUGCCCUAUGGGUUGUAAACAUCUUUUAUAUGGGAAUAAAACGUUCCACGUGUGGGCUUUUGUAUGUACCAUAUGAAUAAGGAUCGGCUAAGUCCGUGCCAGCAGCCGCGGUAAUACGGAGGAUCCGAGCGUUAUCCGGAUUUAUUGGGUUUAAAGGGAACGUAGGUGGAUUGUUAAGUCAGUUGUGAAAGCUUCCGGCUUAACCGGAGAAUUGCAGUUGAAACUGGCAGGCUUGAGUACAGUAGAGGUGGGCGGAAUUCGUGGUGUAGCGGUGAAAUGCUUAGAUAUCACGAAGAACUCCGAUUGCGAAGGCAGCUCACUGGACAGCAACUGACACUGAGGCGCGAAAGUGUGGGGAGCAAACAGGAUUAGAUACCCCAGUAGUC